UAUACGAUUUGGUGUUAGGAAGGCAAAUCCGCUGAAUUUAAGCAUAUAAUUAAGCGGAAGAAAAGAAAAUAACAAUGAUUUCUUUAGUAACGGCGAGUGAACAAGGAAGAGCUCAAGGAGAUAAUUCUAUAUUGUAGUUUGUAAAAAGAUUAUAUGUAUAGAAAUUGUUCUGUUUAUAAGGAAAGAAAUAAUUUGAGAAUUUAUGGGGAAUAUAUAUGUUUAGUUAUUGAAAUAAGUAGGAAUACUUUUCCAUAGAGGGUGAAAGGCCCGUAGUUAAUAAACAUAUGUGUUUCUUUUUUUUGGAUUAUUUUUUUUUUUAAGAGUAGUGCUCUUUGAGAUUGGAGUGCAAAGUUGUGUGAAACAUUUCACAUAAAGCUAAAUAUAUAUAGGAGACCGAUAGCAAACAAGUACCGUGAGGGAAAGAUGAAAUAGUACUCAGGAAUGAGCAGUUAAAUAGUACCUGAAAUCGUUAAGAUGGAACGGAUUAAGAAAGGAAAAUGUAAGAAAGUAGUAAAUAUUACUCGGCGAGUCUUAUUAAGAUACUAUUUUUUUAUAAAGAGAAGCAUGAGUNNNAAAAAAGAGAUUGACAAUCGGACAAUAAGAAAUUAUUUCUUUCCUAUUUCACAAUAUUGUUUACCUCUUUCCUCAGUAAACAGAAUAAUUAUUACAUGUCUUAUAUAUAUAUAUAUAUAAAUAAUACAAUAUAAACUCAUAUAAAUUUAGUUCUUUCCUUCAUAAAUUAAAAUUAAUUAAGGAUACUAUAAUUAAAUAAAUAUAGAAAUACAAAAAAGAAAAAAAAAAGUAAUGAAUACUCAAGCAUACGAAUAUAACCCUUUUAUACCGGCACCCUUUUUCUUACUACUUCCCCCCUUUCAGUCCUGUUUUAUCUAUUCUAUACCCUAAUCUAAUAUAAUUUAUAUUAAAUUGAAUUCUUGUUC
Molecule: ribosomal RNA, 938 nt
Organism: Plasmodium adleri (nom. inval.)
Lineage: Eukaryota; Apicomplexa; Aconoidasida; Haemosporida; Plasmodiidae
Source: RefSeq, a predicted model, not a curated record